AACGAACGCUGGCGGCGCGUCUUACGCAUGCAAGUCGAACGGCAAGACAGGAGCUUGUUUCUCUCCUAGAGUGGCGGACUGGUGCGGAACACGUGGGUAAUCUACCCUUAAGUUGCGUGUAGCUGCUCGAAAUAGAGGGUACUACAGUAUACCCUCGGCAUAUCACAAGAGGUCAUGAGGAAAUGAAGCUUCGGCUUCUCUUGAGGAUGAGCUUGCGUCCCAUUAGCUAGUUGGUGAGGUAAAGGCCCACCAAGGCGACGAUGGGUAUCCGGCCUGAGAGGGUGAACGGACACAUUGGGACUGAGAUACGGCCCAAACUCCUACGGGAGGCAGCAGCUAAGAAUAUUCCGCAAUGGACGGAAGUCUGACGGAGCGACGCCGCGUGGAUGAAGAAGGCUGAAAAGUUGUAAAAUCCUUUUGUUGAUGAAGAAUAAGGGUGAGAGGGAAUGCUCAUCUGAUGACGGUAAUCGACGAAUAAGCCCCGGCUAAUUACGUG
RNAcentral lists this ribosomal RNA (496 nucleotides) under uncultured bacterium. Its description in RNAcentral is "partial 16S ribosomal RNA". It matches the Rfam family "Bacterial small subunit ribosomal RNA", at positions 29 to 507 of the family's 1533-position model. The record is from RNAcentral.